GUGUGGGGGCAACAAGGGAGCAGUGUGAUAUUAAAGUGAUUGUGAGUGUCUUUAAAAGCUGUUGUUUUCUCACAAAAAAGUACAAAAUUGCAAGCAUUUGAAUUGGAAAUUUCAAGCUAUGAAGAUGACAGGAACAGACAAUGCAGAUGUGGAAAAAUGCGGUGAAAGUAAGGUUGAAGGAGAAGAGAGAUGGAGGACAGUUGAGUGUUUAAGAGGAAGAUUGCUUGCUGAGAGAAUGGCUUCCAAAAAUGCUAGGGAGGAGGCAGACCAAUUGGGAAUAAGGCUGGUGGAAAUGGAAAGGCUGUUAGAGCAAGAGGAAAAGUCGAGAACCAAAGCUGAGAAGAAGCU
Molecule: non-coding RNA, 348 nt
Organism: Salvia hispanica
Lineage: Eukaryota; Viridiplantae; Streptophyta; Magnoliopsida; Lamiales; Lamiaceae
Source: RefSeq, a predicted model, not a curated record